AUUUUAUUAGCUAGUUAUUAAAUCAAGUUAUAUUUGAUAAUUAAUAUUUAAUGUCUUUAUCAUAUUGAUAGAUGACAACACACACUCUCCCAUUUAUUUUCCUUAUAUACUUCCCAGUCUAAUCACCCAGCCCAGGGCACUUCCUCGUGUUGAGACGUAUGUUGCUCUUUUUCCUGGUGUGUUUUCUCUGCAUCAAUAAAUUGCCGUAAUUUUAAUCAUGCUAUGCUUCAACAUCGCUACUAUGGAAAUACUGUUGCUAAAGAAAUUCCAUCCAGGAUAGGUAAGUUUAUCUAUUAUAUUUAUUUGCUAUUAUCAUAAAAAGUAUUAAAUGAUCUAGGAAGUCAACGGAGUUAUAUAUUUAAUCAUUCUAUAUUCUACUUCCCCCUCCCCUAUCAUUUCAUUUAUUACAAAUGUUUGCAUAGCUCUUACAUUUGAUAAUUGAUGCCACUAAAACCAUAUUAGUAGGUAAGUAAUACAAAUGUUACUUGUCUAUUUCAGUAAUUAAUAAUAGAAAAUUCAUAAUUUUCUUACAAUUUACAUUACUUUUUUUUUUUAAUUUGUGUACAAUUUAUUCAUAUAUAGGUGUUUCCCUAUAAACAGUACAAAUUAUAAAAAAACAAAAUUUUAAUAGGAUAGAAAUACCGAUAAUUACAAUACGGUUGAAGAGACAUUAGUGACUCGUGACAAAAUAUUUUUUCAUGGUGAGACUAACGUCAGGUCAAUAAAAUAAAAAUCGUAGAUACUUACGUUUGAAGAACAAAUUCUCAUCAACUAGAAACGAGAAAGGCGCAAAUCCCGACAAAACGCACACUACGACUACUUAUUAACUAUAAAUAUGUCGAGAAGUAUGAUAAUUAAUAAUUAACGUACUGUUUCAGGGUACAUGAAGAUUCACACAAGGUUUAACGAAACGCUCAAACCGACGAUGGCCCCAAAAAACGGAUAUUAGCCAAUAUGGAGAAAGAUGAACACGAUUUACAACAAACAUAGAAUGAUUAUUUUGCCGGCACUAUAAUCUUAAUAAAACAGAUUAGAUGUAAUAAUCAU
Cinara cedri is the source of this 1047-nucleotide non-coding RNA. The record is from the annotation of a GenBank genome assembly. NCBI's taxonomy places the organism in Eukaryota, Metazoa, Arthropoda, Insecta, Hemiptera, Aphididae.